GGGGAUCUUACAAUUAUGUAUGAUAUCCUAAGAACAUAUGAUUCAAAUUACUGGGCUCAGGUUACCAUUGCAAACCAUAAUCCCCUUGGUCGCCUUGAUAACUGGAAACUAAGUUGGGACUGGAUGAAGGAUGAGUUUAUUUGGGAAAUGAAAGGCGCAUAUCCCUCUGUUGUUGAUACUUCUGAGUGUGUUUUUGGGCCACAGGCAAAAUUUUAUCAAAACCUUGACUUUUCCACUGGUUUGAACUGUCAGAGAAGGCCGACACUAAUUGAUCUGCCGCUGGAGAAGACCAAUGAUACAAAGUUGGGAAUGAUACCUUUUUGUUGUCGGAAUGGGACAAUCUUGCCACCUGCUAUGGACCCAAGCAAGUCUGUUUCAGCAUUCCAGAUGAAUGUCUUUAAAAUGCCUCCAGAUCUUAAUCGAUCCUCAUUCACUCCUCCACAGAAUUGGAAGAUCGAAGGCAGACUGAAUCCAGAUUACAAGUGUGGACCUCCAGUCCGUGUAAGCCCCACCCAAGUCCCUGAUCCUAGUGGAUUGUUACCUGCUACAUCAGUAUUUGCUAGCUGGCAAGUUGUAUGCAACAUCACCCAACCAAAAGGAGCUAGCCCCAGAUGCUGUGUUUCUUUCUCUGCUUUCUACAAUGAAUCUAUCAUUCCUUGUCCAACAUGCGCCUGUGGUUGUCCUUCCAAUACUGCUCGUACAUGUAGCACGAAAGCCCCAGCUCUUCUCCUCCCAUCUCAGGCUCUUCUGGUUCCAUUUGACAAUAGAACCAAGAUGUCCCUUGCCUGGGCUGAAAUUAAUCAUCUUCCAGUUUCAAACCCAUUGCCAUGUGGAGAUAACUGUGGUGUAAGCAUCAACUGGCAUUUGUUCACAGACUAUAGGGGUGGAUGGUCUGCCAGGAUCACCAUCUUCAACUGGGAGGAUGCUGCUUUUGCUGAUUGGUUCACUGCGGUGGAAUUGGACAAAGCAGCGGCUGGUUUUGACGCAGUGUAUUCAUUCAAUGGAACUAUGUUAGAUGGGGUUAAUAAUACCAUAUUCAUGCAGGGCCUUCCAGGCUUGAACUAUAUAGUAGCAGAAGCAGAUGGAGCUAAUCCAGCGAAAGAUCCCCGAGUACCUGGGAAACAACAAUCAGUAAUCUCAUUCACAAAGAAGAAUAUCCCAAACAUCAACGUUGCUGCUGGUGAUGGGUUUCCAACAAAAUUAUACUUCAAUGGAGAAGAGUGCUCAUUGCCAAAGCUACUCCCAACAAGCAGUUCAUCUAGAAUAUCUUCAUUCACUGUCACUACUUCCAUUCUUGCAGCAGUUGUGGUUUUUAUGUUGGUGCGACAAUAGCAGUGAGCUGUGGCGUUUUCUCUUCGUUUCAUACCUGCCAAUUGAUUCAUUCUUUAGCGUCUGCUACCAGGUUUUAAUGCUGGUGACCAAUCUUUCAAUCAGUUUGUCGGAUUAUGUAUUCAGGGACGUGGGUUUUUCGGCGAGUUUUGAUUUGUAACUAUUUAUUACACUCUGGAAUUCUCAUUCCAGACAAUAUUUGACUUUAAAGUUAAUACCUGUUAUAUUAGCAGAUAAGAUAAGAAUACCUCAGUUUGUUCAUCAUCAUCCUCAAUACCUCAGUUUGUUCAUCAUCAUCCUC
Molecule: unclassified non-coding RNA, 1630 nt
Filed under: Hevea brasiliensis (rubber tree)
Lineage: Eukaryota; Viridiplantae; Streptophyta; Magnoliopsida; Malpighiales; Euphorbiaceae
Source: RNAcentral